Molecule: ribosomal RNA, 494 nt
Filed under: uncultured bacterium
Lineage: Bacteria
Description: bacterial SSU rRNA
Rfam family: Bacterial small subunit ribosomal RNA
Source: RNAcentral
AAAGGAAUUGACGGGGGCCCGCACAAGCGGUGGAGCAUGUGGUUUAAUUCGAUGCAACGCGAAGAACCUUACCAGGUCUUGACAUCCGUGGAACCCAGAUGAAAGUUUGGGGUGCCUUCGGGAGCCACGAGACAGGUGGUGCAUGGUUGUCGUCAGCUCGUGUCGUGAGAUGUUGGGUUAAGUCCCGCAACGAGCGCAACCCUUGCUAUUAGUUGCUAACGGUUCGGCCGAGCACUCUAAUGGGACUGCCUGUGACAAGCAGGAGGAAGGUGGGGAUGACGUCAAAUCAUCAUGCCCUUUAUGACCUGGGCUACACACGUGCUACAAUGGAUGGUACAGAGAGCAGCAAGACCGCGAGGUGGAGCGAAUCUCAAAAAGCCAUUCUCAGUUCGGAUUGUAGUCUGCAACUCGACUACAUGAAGUCGGAAUCGCUAGUAAUCGCGAAUCAGCAUGUCGCGGUGAAUGCGUUCCCGGGCCUUGUACACACCGCCCGU